Molecule: long non-coding RNA, 403 nt
Organism: Alosa alosa (allis shad)
Lineage: Eukaryota; Metazoa; Chordata; Actinopteri; Clupeiformes; Clupeidae
Exons: 3
Source: RefSeq, a predicted model, not a curated record
CUGGAAACCUGCCUCUGUCACUUCCCAACGCACGCCUUCCUGCCGGCCGCCGCACCAUCCAUGCUUGCCUCACUGGCCUCCGUGCUGUCUUGGUGCAUGGCUUGUUCCGCCACGGUGCACUCUCAGUAACUUACACCCUGUCUCAAGUGAUGAGUUGCUACACUGGUGUUGUGGGCCUAAGUCAUCUGGACGUGCAUUGUGCUCACUGCUGCUUUGCUGAGUUUUGGUCCGUGCAUUAUCCGUUGUGAAAACAUUGUUUCCUGCUUCACCAUUCUCGUGACUGUGGCACCGAAGCUAGCAGCAGGAAACAGGAGUAUGAGAGAUCUUUGCCAGAAUCCAGUUAAAAAAUCAAGAAAUGAUCCAGUUUUAUUCCUCACCUCAGAAAGCAUAUUUUUGUGAAAAA